AGGGUUUGAUUCUGGCUCAGAUUGAACGCUGGCGGCAGGCCUAACACAUGCAAGUCGAGCGGUAGAGAGAAGCUUGCUUCUCUUGAGAGCGGCGGACGGGUGAGUAAUGCCUAGGAAUCUGCCUGGUAGUGGGGGAUAACGCUCGGAAACGGACGCUAAUACCGCAUACGUCCUACGGGAGAAAGCAGGGGACCUUCGGGCCUUGCGCUAUCAGAUGAGCCUAGGUCGGAUUAGCUAGUUGGUGAGGUAAUGGCUCACCAAGGCGACGAUCCGUAACUGGUCUGAGAGGAUGAUCAGUCACACUGGAACUGAGACACGGUCCAGACUCCUACGGGAGGCAGCAGUGGGGAAUAUUGGACAAUGGGCGAAAGCCUGAUCCAGCCAUGCCGCGUGUGUGAAGAAGGUCUUCGGAUUGUAAAGCACUUUAAGUUGGGAGGAAGGGCAGUUACCUAAUACGUAAUUGUUUUGACGUUACCGACAGAAUAAGCACCGGCUAACUCUGUGCCAGCAGCCGCGGUAAUACAGAGGGUGCAAGCGUUAAUCGGAAUUACUGGGCGUAAAGCGCGCGUAGGUGGUUCGUUAAGUUGGAUGUGAAAUCCCCGGGCUCAACCUGGGAACUGCAUUCAAAACUGUCGAGCUAGAGUAUGGUAGAGGGUGGUGGAAUUUCCUGUGUAGCGGUGAAAUGCGUAGAUAUAGGAAGGAACACCAGUGGCGAAGGCGACCACCUGGACUGAUACUGACACUGAGGUGCGAAAGCGUGGGGAGCAAACAGGAUUAGAUACCCUGGUAGUCCACGCCGUAAACGAUGUCAACUAGCCGUUGGGAGCCUUGAGCUCUUAGUGGCGCAGCUAACGCAUUAAGUUGACCGCCUGGGGAGUACGGCCGCAAGGUUAAAACUCAAAUGAAUUGACGGGGGCCCGCACAAGCGGUGGAGCAUGUGGUUUAAUUCGA
RNAcentral lists this ribosomal RNA (951 nucleotides) under uncultured Pseudomonas sp. Its description in RNAcentral is "bacterial SSU rRNA". It matches the Rfam family "Bacterial small subunit ribosomal RNA", at positions 8 to 954 of the family's 1533-position model. Lineage: Bacteria; Pseudomonadati; Pseudomonadota; Gammaproteobacteria; Pseudomonadales; Pseudomonadaceae. The record is from RNAcentral.